UUCCCAGCGGGGCGAAGCCGCGUCGCGAGGCGCGGUGGACUGCUGGGAAGUGAGAAUGCCGGCAUGAGUAGCGAGAGGCGGGUGAGAAUCCCGCCCCCCGGAUGCCCAAGGUUUCCUGGGGAAGGCUCGUCCGCCCAGGGUUAGGCGGGACCUAAGGUGAACCCGAAAGGGGUAGCCGAUGGGCAGCCGGUUAAUAUUCCGGCCCCUCCGGGUCCGCGCUACGAGCGAAGGGGUGACGCCGCAGGACUAUCCCCGCGGGCUUACGGCUAUGCCCGUCCAAGCGUCAAGCCAGGGGGAGGAGGCAAAUCCCCUCCCCCGCUACGGCGAGGCGUGAUGGCGAGCCGCUUAACGCGGCGAAGGGGGAUGGGUUCAGCGGCCGAGAAAAGCCUCUAGCCAGUGGGCCCGGAGCCCGUACCGCAAACCGACACAGGUGGGCGAGGGGAGUACCCACAGGGGGGCGAGAUAACCCCGGUCAAGGAACUCGGCAAAUUGCCCCCGUAACCUCGGGAGAAGGGGGGCCCUCGCCGUGGCCAGGGAUCCUCUUGGCUGCGGUUGGGGGCCGCAGAGAAUCGGCCCAGGCGACUGUUUACCAAAAACACAGGUCCCUGCUAACCCGUAAGGGGACGUAUAGGGGCUGAAACCUGGCCACUGCCGGUAGGUCAAGGGGAGGGGUGCAAGCCCCGAACCGAAGCCCCGGUGAAGGCCGGCCGUAACUAUAACGGUCCUAAGGUAGCGAAGUACCUUGUCGGGUAAGUUCCGACCUGCAUGAAAGGAACAACGACCUGGGCACUGUCUUGACCGGGGGCUCGGUGAACUUGAAGCGCCGGUGAAGAUGCCGGCGACCCGCGGUGGGACAGAAAGACCCCGUGGAGCUUUACUGCAGCCUGGUGUUGGGUCUUGGUCGUUGAUGUAGAGGAUAGGUGGGAGGCUGAGAAGCUCGGGCGCCAGCCCGGGUGGAGCCGCCGGUGGAAUACCACCCUUCAACGACUGAGGCUCUAACCAGGGGCCGUUAGCAGCGGUUCCGGGACAGCGCCAGGUGGGCAGUUUUGCUGGGGCGGCAGCCUCCUAAAGGGUAACGGAGGCGCCCAAAGGUCCCCUCAGGCGGGUUAGCGAUCCGCCGUGGAGUGCAAGGGCAGACAGGGGGCUUGACUGCGAGGCCUACAAGCCGAGCAGGGGCGAAAGCCGGGCCUAGUGACCCACCGGCUCCUCGUGGUAGGGCCGGUGAUCAGCGGAUAAAAGUUACCCCGGGGAUAACAGGCUGGUCCCGCCCGAGAGUUCACAUCGACGGCGGGGUUCGGCACCUCGAUGUCGGCUCACCCCAUCCUGGGGCUGCACCAGGUCCCAAGGGUUGGGCUGUUCGCCCAUCAAAGGGGUUCAUGAGCUGGGUUCAGACCGUCGUGAGACAGGUCGGUCCCUAUCUACCGCGGGCGCAGGAGGCUUGAGGGGGUCCGCUCUCAGUACGAGAGGACCGGAGCGGCUGGGCCGCUGGUGUACCAGUUGUCCCGCCCGGGGCACAGCUGGGUAGCUAAGCCCAGAUCGGAUAAGGGCUGAAGGCAUCUAAGCUCGAAGCCGACCCCAAGAUGAGGCCUCCCCAUCAGGGCCCUUCGAGACCAGGAGGUUGAUAGGCCGCAGGUGGAAGCCCGGUGACGGGUGGAGCCGAGCGGUACUAAUAGCCCGAUCGACUUGCGUA
RNAcentral lists this ribosomal RNA (1690 nucleotides) under marine sediment metagenome. Its description in RNAcentral is "bacterial LSU rRNA". It matches the Rfam family "Bacterial large subunit ribosomal RNA", at positions 1239 to 2925 of the family's 2925-position model. The record is from RNAcentral.